ACCCAGACUCCUACGGGAGGCAGCAGUGGGGAAUAUUGCACAAUGGGGGAAACCCUGAUGCAGCGACGCCGCGUGAGUGAAGAAGCGCCUCGGCGCGUAAAGCUCUGUCAGCAGGAACGAUAAUGACGGUACCUGAAGAAGAAGCCCCGGCUAACUACGUGCCAGCAGCCGCGGUAAUACGUAGGGGGCAAGCGUUAUCCGGAUUUACUGGGUGUAAAGGGAGCGUAGACGGCAUGGCAAGUCAGAUGUGAAAGCCCGGGGCUCAACCCCGGGACUGCAUUUGAAACUGUCAGGCUGGAGUGCAGGAGAGGUAAGUGGAAUUCCUAGUGUAGCGGUGAAAUGCGUAGAUAUUAGGAAGAACACCGGUGGCGAAGGCGACUUUCUGGACUGUAACUGACGUUGAGGCACGAAAGUGUGGGGAGCAAACAGGAUUAGAUACCCGGGUA
This 446-nucleotide ribosomal RNA is filed under the name uncultured bacterium. RNAcentral's name for it is "bacterial SSU rRNA". It matches the Rfam family "Bacterial small subunit ribosomal RNA", at positions 329 to 792 of the family's 1533-position model. The record is from RNAcentral.